RNAcentral lists this signal recognition particle RNA (98 nucleotides) under Magnetococcales bacterium. RNAcentral's name for it is "signal recognition particle sRNA small type". It matches the Rfam family "Bacterial small signal recognition particle RNA". Rfam says of the family: The signal recognition particle (SRP) is a universally conserved ribonucleoprotein involved in the co-translational targeting of proteins to membranes. The record is from RNAcentral. Lineage: Bacteria; Pseudomonadati; Pseudomonadota; Magnetococcia; Magnetococcales.
GGCCAGGACGUACGCAACGGAAACCCGUAAACCCCGUCAGGACCGGAAGGUAGCAGCGGUAGCGGAGCUUUCCGUGUGCCGUACUCAGCCUGGCCGGA